Long non-coding RNA from Erigeron canadensis, 1154 nucleotides. RefSeq lists it as uncharacterized. The transcript is spliced from 6 exons. The record is from RefSeq and is a predicted model, not a curated record. NCBI's taxonomy places the organism in Eukaryota, Viridiplantae, Streptophyta, Magnoliopsida, Asterales, Asteraceae.
UGUGCUCCCCUCCCCACCGGUACCGGGGGGUCGGGGCGGUGUGCACACCGAUACCGGCCGGUACCGGUUCCCUGCCUUAACGACUCCGUCCACCAAUAGAGCUAAUGAGUUUUAUAUGAAAUAUUUUUUUUCUAAUUAAAAUACUAAAAUAAUCUAAUGAAGUGACCCCAUGAUCAUAAGGCGACUAAAAUCCUAACGCGCCCGGCAUUCAUACAUACAGUAAUAACAAUAAUCAUGGACGGGUGGAAGGAAUGGCCACGCCGGCGCCGCUUCCAUCACCGUCACCGCUACCGCCACGUCAACCACGGCGACACGCAGCAUUGACCAAAUGUUUGACUUUCGUUGAGGGUGAAAUCUUGGAUUGAUAAAGCAGGUUAUGACAUAGUCUCAUCUUCCGAGUUCUAAGCCAGUGGUAGGACGCUAGCUCUGUUUUACUGCAACACUUGCAUUUGGGAAAUACGAGUAGAAGGGAACCAUAUAUGUAGGAACAAGUAAUCGACUAUAUGGUUUGAGAUAUUCAGUUGAAGAUCAGAAGAUGUAGUCCCGUGAAUGUCAGUAUUAAUAUGACAUCUUCAGUCUUUAUCGGUGGAUGCAAGUUAAUGACAAAUUGGAGCACUUGUCUUUAUAAACAAGGUUGUUAUGGCUGUCCUCGUACACAUGACUGAUGAAGAUCGAAAGCCUUUAGGAGUCCCAGUGCGGAUUGUUCAUCAAUGGAGCCAAGUAUAGCUUUUUUUCUAACAGGUGUUGUCGUUGCUAAGAUUCAGUUGGACAUGAUUGAGCGCUCCUUUAAAGGAAUGUUAAAGGGGUCCCCUCUAAUCUCUGCAAAGAAGGUCUCAUUUCAUAUUCAAGCCACCAAGUUAUGCAAGUCAGUUUCGCUCGCUAAGAAGCAUUCCGGUGGCAAGAACGUCUCCUUUAACAAGGCUCGGGCAUGGAACCUUCCACUGUCUCUUUCAACCGAGAUGCUUCCUACUUGAUUCGGUACCAAUUCUUGACAUUCUUAUUAGUGCUGGAAUUCUCAUCAAAUAAUGUGAUACUCAACUGUUUUUUCAUAUAUGAGGUUCUCUUUACUUGGUACUCAUGAUUAUCAAUUGUAAGAAUAAAUCUCUUUUUUCUUUUUGUAUGUUUCUUUAUGUUUGACUGGUAUGGUUGCUUUA